RNAcentral lists this small RNA (19 nucleotides) under Arabidopsis thaliana (thale cress). The record is from RNAcentral. Lineage: Eukaryota; Viridiplantae; Streptophyta; Magnoliopsida; Brassicales; Brassicaceae.
AAGAAAAGAAAAACGGGUC